AAGGAGCUUGCUCCUUUGAAGUUAGCGGCGGACGGGUGAGUAACACGUGGGUAACCUACCUAUAAGACUGGAAUAACUUCGGGAAACCGGAGCUAAUGCCGGAUAACAUAUAGAACCGCAUGGUUCUAUAGUGAAAGAUGGUUUUGCUAUCACUUAUAGAUGGACCCGCGCCGUAUUAGCUAGUUGGUAAGGUAAUGGCUUACCAAGGCGACGAUACGUAGCCGACCUGAGAGGGUGAUCGGCCACACUGGAACUGAGACACGGUCCAGACUCCUACGGGAGGCAGCAGUAGGGAAUCUUCCGCAAUGGGCGAAAGCCUGACGGAGCAACGCCGCGUGAGUGAUGAAGGUUUUCGGAUCGUAAAACUCUGUUAUUAGGGAAGAACAAAUGCGUAAGUAACUGUGCGCAUCUUGACGGUACCUAAUCAGAAAGCCACGGCUAACUACGUGCCAGCAGCCGCGGUAAUACGUAGGUGGCAAGCGUUAUCCGGAAUUAUUGGGCGUAAAGCGCGCGUAGGCGGUUUCUUAAGUCUG
Molecule: ribosomal RNA, 533 nt
Filed under: Staphylococcus succinus
Lineage: Bacteria; Bacillati; Bacillota; Bacilli; Caryophanales; Staphylococcaceae
Description: bacterial SSU rRNA
Rfam family: Bacterial small subunit ribosomal RNA
Source: RNAcentral